UCACAGCAGUUCUGCAGCUUCCUCACCGGGAGGAGGGGCAGGCCCUGAGCUCUGCUCUGUGUGACCAGGGACAGGACCCGAGGGAAUGGCCGGAGCUGCGCCAGGGGACGGGAAGGGUGGAUUUUAGGAAAAGUUCUUCAAGCAGAGGAUGGUCAGGCACUGAACGGGCUCCCCCGCGCAGUGGUCGCGGCACGCAGCCUGACAGAGCUCCAGGAGUCUUUGCACAACCGUCUUGGGCACAGGGUGGGAUUGCCGCGGUGUCCUGUGCAGGGCCAGGAGUUGGACUGGAUGAUCUUUGUGGGUCCCUUUCAGUUCCAGACAUUCUGUGAUGCUGUAAUAACUGUGUCCCUCUCCGGUUUGGAGACAGCACUUGUUUGCUUUGCCUCUGGAGUGCACGUGACCCCACCAGCCCAGGUGUCCCGACCAGCUUAAGAAUCAGAGGUGUGUAUCCUCCAGGAUGUGCUCAGAAGAUUUCAGCAAAAGAGAAAGAGGGAGCUUGCUCAACCACCAGAGAAGCCCUACACCCCACAGCCAGGCGAUCCUGAACCCUCCCUUCCCUGUGAGACCCGUGUGGAGUCUCCCAGGCACGAAAACUCCCCUCAGAAGUGGCACGAGGAUCAGCUCCUGCAGCUGAGAUUCCCAUUCCACAUCACUGCAUUUACAGUCAGCAGCGAGGAAAGGGAUGCUUCAAAUUCCCAGAAGCUGACUCUGGAUCGUGUCUCUCUUAGUUUGGUGUCAGACCUCUGGGACAUUAUAUAAAUAGCCAGUGCAUCUUCCCACUGCAUUUUCUAAGUUCCUAGCAGCUGGCAGCGGGUUGGAGUUGGUCAUCCUGACUGGAAAACUGCUCCUCUUCUUUCCAGAAAAGGAAAACUUACUGUCUGAGGUGGGCUUAACCUCUCCCCCAAUCCUUGGCACCUCCAGCAGCUGCAGAGGCAGUUUUCUGUUUGGUUUUGUGAAUCGUAUCUUGAGAUACCUUGCUUUCUCUGUCUGCUGCAUGGAGAGUUUGAGUGCUUGAACACAUCUGGAACCCAGCACAGUGUGAGCAGGAGAGGGCCUGUCCCAUGCUGUGAGUACCCCACGUGGAUUGGGCUGCGCUAUGUCUUAGCCCACCAAACUCUGGGCUGCAGCAGCUGAGUGCGUGGCAUGCCCCUUUCCCUUCAAGGACACACCUCCUGGGGGUGUACACACAUCUCUAUAUCCCUGGAAAUAUACCCUUGGUAUGUUCCUUCCCUGCAAAGAGCCCCAGCGGCACCAAGAGCAGGGCCCUGUACCCUGAACUGCUCCUGCUUCCUGCAGUGCCUUGUGCUAUCGUCAGGCCGAGGGGCAGCUGGGACAUUAACCUCCCACUCCUCCCACUCCAACAUCCUCCUCGUAAACAUCCCGUCCCGCUUAAGUCCUGUGCUGUCACAUCCUCUCUGCUCUGCCCAGAUGCUAUUCUGGAUUUAGUUCCAUAUGCAGAGCACACAGCUGGGCAUGCCAAAAUCCAGGCAGGCAGCAGGACAGAACAGUAACUUGGUUCAGCUGCUGACAUAUCACAAGUACUGCGGAGGAGGGGAGCUGUGUAAGGGUCUUCUUAAAACUAAAAUCCUCUGCUUGAGCUCUCCUUGGAGAGCCAGUUUGCUUCCCUAGGCAUGUUCAGCAGCUGUACCUUACUCCAAGCAGACUCAAACGUGCAUGCGGCCUGAAAAGCCUUGGUAAUAAUGGAAGGGAGCAGAACAGGGAGCUUGGAAGCUGCAGCACAGUAAGUUUACACAAGCAGCAAGUUAAACACCCAUCCCCGGUGAGUCAGUCCUGGCCAUUUCCUUCAUUUCCUCCAAGGCUCCCUGUGAACAUCCAGCAGUAGCGGCCCUUCUGAAAUCCAGUUGUCUCCUUUCCUGCCCCCUUGUUUACAGCUUUCCUUCAGGAGGGAGCAGAGUUCCAGCCUCCAGCACUGCCUUUUCACUGCAGCAGGCUGAGAGAAGGGCAGACCCUCCCCGGCCUCGGCUCAGCUUCGGUACCACAGUGCUCUUGUUGCUUUUCUGAGUGCCAGCACCUUCCUGAGCAACAGCAGGUGCUGAGAUAAGAGAGGAAAAAGUAUCACAGUUGCACAGUACUUCUUUUUUAAAAUCUUGAAUGCAGCUGUAUUGUUGACGGAGGUUCAUUAUCCCUACAGCCAUACCUUUGGAAUCAGUCUGGGAGGGCAGAAAGGAUGCAGUGGGGCAUUACAUUGUUUCAAGUGCACAAACCAUCCCUCAGAAAUCUGGGUUGGAGAUUCUCUGCUUCAGAUUGAGGCGUAUCUCUUGUUCUGAUUCCCCCACAUGAUAGCAGCUAGGGAGGGGGACUAUUUUUAGCUUUUGUUUCUUGGUUUGUUUGCAGGAAGUUCUUCAUUUGUGGGAGUGAACUUGGGUGUCUUAGUCUGAGAAUGCCCUUCAGUGCCAGCUGUGGAUGCAGUUACAAGGGUGAAUUCCUGCUGUUGUCUGGGAGAGUCAUCAUUUAUCCCAGGUGUUGAAGAAACUAUGGGCUUCACACAGAUAUAUACUGAUUUCUGGGAUCUUUCUUGAAAUUUUUUCAAGGAGAUGUUCAGGUGGCUGUGACAGAACAGUUUAGCGAAAUACAGAACUGGGAAAUUCCUUUGGGUGAUAUGGCCAGAAAUGCUCUUCUGUGUGAAAUUAGUUAUAAAUCCACAUUGGUCACAUGACCUGAGUUAAUUACAGUAGCUCUGAGACAAAACCCAUAUUGUCAAAGAACAUGAACAUCCCAGGACAAGAACAGACCAAAAUGGGCUUCCCCCAUUUCCUUCUCAAGUGCCUUCUGGGAAUUCCAAAGAGCCUGCAGCCAACAAGUGACCUAGAUACAAUGCCGUGUUUGCUCUUAUGGAGUAAAACCAGGAGCAAAAAAAUCCACCCAAAUUAUAUCUCUUUAUAAUACUUACUCAGUUUUCAGCCAGGGUUGGGGGUUUUUUUCCUACAAAAAGCGGCAAGAAUUGUUUGUACAAAUGGAUACCUGCAUAUGAGCCAUGGAGGGAUAGGUUUUUGUCAUGAUGAAUUAUGUACUGGUUACAGUGAAGGUCUACAUUGGGUGGAUUAAGUGUGAAUGGCCCGUUUAGUGUGUUGUACAAAUUUCUUCCAAAGUAAUUGCAGUGCUUGGCCUGAUGUGCAAGUUGGGCCAUUGUCCUACACAGCUGAAUUCCCCUUUUUUAACAGGGUCUGCCAGGAAAAUUUAAACAAAUGGACAAGGCUACAGACUGUCUUGAGACAAAGGCUGCUGUUAGGGGCACGAGAGAAUGGGAUGGUCUGGAGAGUCCCUGCCUGUCAGCCGUGAAAGGUGGUAAAAGAAUGCUUUUAUUUGCACACAUCCUCUAGCCUGACAUUGCCCAACAGUUCACUUGGGGAGGCUGAUGGGCUUUCCCAGCUCAGUUUACAGCUGCAAUCCAGACUGAUACCAAGGAAAAUGACUGCUCAUGCCACAGCUUCAGAAAGGUGUGGGCUGCACACAUGCAGAUGUUGGCUUCGUUGACCUUCCCUGAUUUUCAUGGAAUUGAGGGUAGGAAAGGCCAGUCUCAAACAGCAAAAGCAGGCAAGAUCACCUCAGAUGUUCCUUUAGUUUUGCUAAAAAAUGUCAACUGGGCAGAAGAACAAACUACUGCUCAGAGCAUAGCUACAAACCAAAGAAAGAAGAAAGAAAUCCCUACGUCUCUGCUGCUCAAGAUUUCACGUGAACAACUGCAGCAAAACAUGACUCGGAACUUCACAUCUAUUUGUUUACAUACUGUUUUUCAAAAGACAGAAGGAAAUAGCUUAAAAGUUAGUCCAAUUCCAUUAAAAUCCUUUUCUUUGGGUUUAAUAAAGUAUGGAUUUUUUUCACAAGCAAGAAGCUCCUUUGAAUAAAUAUUGGGGGAAAAGGAACUAUAAAGGGGUUAUAUUCUCUGAAGCAGUUACCCAACCUUUAAUGAUGCACACUGUGGUUAAAGGAACCUGUUUCCUGCUCACCAGUAGCAUUUGGGAACUCAGUGGUGGAAUUCUCAGUGGAACUCAAGUAAGCUCUUACAUUUUUAGGAGAAUUUCCCUCGGCCAAACUUUCAAAAAUUACAUUUGAUAUAUGUAAUGCAGUAUAAUAUCACAUUAUUUUCUUCCUGUUGAAUAUAUGGCUUUUUAUACUAUAUAAGCCCUAUUCCCACCUGAUUAAUAUAUGUAGAUUUAUACCGAAGUGUCCGUGCAAGUAAAUAACACAAACUUGAAUUUAAA
Molecule: long non-coding RNA, 4223 nt
Organism: Hirundo rustica (Barn swallow)
Lineage: Eukaryota; Metazoa; Chordata; Aves; Passeriformes; Hirundinidae
Exons: 3
Source: RefSeq, a predicted model, not a curated record